ACCACUACCCACCCACCACCAUCGGGGUUGGGAUCUGUCAGGCGCUUCUGCUUGGUAUCUGCGAUUCUCUGCCUCUUUCUGUCGUCAGUGCCCAUCGCUGCUGGGGGAAGCUCCGUAAUUAGGACCCUGGUGUCCAGGAACCGGAAAUGGUGAGCGCAUGGCGUCCUGACCUGGGCUCAGUGUUGGCACACCGCACCUUCCCGCCUGGCCCCUCCGGACGGUCCCGUCCAGCCAGGCACUGGUGUCCUGCCAGGGCUGAUGGGUUUUCAGGCACCUGGGCCGGGGUGGCCGAGAAAGGCUUUUGAGAGUGGCCUGGCCAAGGCGUGCUGCGGAAAGAGCAGUCGUCGCUGCAUCUAGGCCAGUGCGUUCCCGGACUCGCGCUGUGUUUUCUGCUGGGUUCUGAGUACGCCUUUGGGUGUGUGUGUCUGUUUUCAUGUCUUUGUGGUUUUUGAACCGGACUCUCCAAAUCUAGGUGUACGAGCGCCUGCCAGCACUAUGGCUUUGCUGUCGCGAAGCAUUUCCUUAAGUCACUUGGGUUCUCUAGGACGUUGGCUGUGUGAAUCUUCUACCAUUAUUGAGAAGGCAGUGGCUUAUUACCUCCCUACCUCUUCUCCACUGCUCAUCACCUGCGGAGGUGGGUCCAGGGCUAGCUUGUAUGCGUCUGCCUUUAUGUGUCUGGGGAUUGAUCUGAAUCUGUGUGAUAUGUCUGUAUAUAUGGCAUUGAGGAUGGAAUACCUGGAGAUUUGUGCAUAUUAGACAAAUUCUGUGCCAGGAUAGAGACAGGGUCCCAGUGUAGGCCAGUGUGGCCUUGAAUUUGCUAUCUUCCUAUAUUGGCUUCUAAAAUGUCUGGGAUUAUACUCAUGCACCAUCAGGGCUCAUACUGGGUCCUUUUUGUGUAGAAGAUUUGGAGAGCAGUGGGAUGCUUUAAGUGGGGUUUAAUGAGCUGUCCUAGUAGGAAUAUGGAAGACCUUGUUGCUUUGAGUGAUUUGAACUGUGCGGACCUGACCAAAGAGGUUUCAGUGGCGAAGAACUUCAGUAUGUGGCCUAGAGACUGCUUUUGUAAUAUUUUGGUGAAGUUUGUGGCUGCUUUUUGCCCUUGUCUGAAGAGUCUGCCUGAGGCUAAGGUGCAUUGACAAAGGAAUUCUCAGAAACACCCAUCAUAGACUUUGUUCUCUGGUUAAGUCUCAGGAGCAUUUUUGAAUAAGUUUAGAAAGGAAAAA
Molecule: long non-coding RNA, 1220 nt
Filed under: Mus musculus (house mouse)
Lineage: Eukaryota; Metazoa; Chordata; Mammalia; Rodentia; Muridae
Description: zinc finger protein 939
Source: RNAcentral